Parus major (Great Tit) is the source of this 9546-nucleotide long non-coding RNA. RefSeq lists it as uncharacterized. NCBI's taxonomy places the organism in Eukaryota, Metazoa, Chordata, Aves, Passeriformes, Paridae. The record is from RefSeq and is a predicted model, not a curated record. The transcript is spliced from 5 exons.
UGCUCCCGUGGCCUUGCUCCCCUGCUCCCGUGGCCCUGUUCUCCUGGCCCUGCUCCCGGCAGCCACACUGGGACCAUGGCAGCUCCACGCCGCGGGAAGCAGCCACACCUGCUUCUCCAUGCCGCUGCUCUCUGAAGGCAAUGCUGGGCUCCAGUGCCACUUCUUCCCCAAAAACCAGAGGUAGCCCCGCUGCAGAACUUGUUCGACAUGAACAUCAGCCACUGAAAGGGCCGCGAAGGAGGGGGGAAGGAACGGGGCGUGGGAAAGGACUUCGGGAGCCCCCACUGAGGUGUCAGGCAUGUGCCGGCAUCCCCUGGGCCUUCGCUCCACUGCUGGCAGCGUGAGAGGGGCCAUUUGUGGCAUUUAUUUAAAUACUUGACUACAAGGCAUGGCACAUAAAAGGACCACUAAAUUUUAAUUUUUUUCCCUCAGCUGUGACAGUUCAGGAGUUAUGCCUGUCAAGUUGCUCUUGGGUAGAGCUGGUUGAACUCAAUAGAGUGUUUUCAGUCAGCAAAUGUUGAUUAAUACCAAAAUGUUUGUGGGAAUUUUUCCGUGUCAGCAAAGUUCCAAUUAGGAAGCUCCCUGGUUUCCUGUCAGCUUGCUUGGCUCCGUGGCUGCCUCGCUGGUGGGCUGCUGCAGAGCUGGGCCUCCAGCAGGUCAGUUCGUGGUGCUUUGACAGCCUGCUAGGAGAGAUGCCUGGGACUUCUGGGAGCUGGAGAGGUGGGACUAGAGCUACCCACAGAAUUUCGUUCAGCUUAUUCUUGAGUGUUAUGAAAAUGUGACAACUGUGGAAAAAAAUUAGUAUCUAAGGUUUUCCAUUAGGAUGUAAAUCUGUUUCUUAUAAAAAGUUGCUGUUCUUUGUGAUAAAAAAUGACAUUUCUUCUUCAGGUCUGUUUCUACUCCCAAAUCAGUUAAAGCAGCCAGCAUCUAUCUGACUGCUGCACCAUCUCUGUUGACUCAAUUGUAUUCUUAGGAAACACCUUUCAGCUGUUGAUAAGGGUUUGAACAAAGGAGGUGUCUGCAGCUAGUUAGAGCAGGAUUUCUACCACUUCAAAGUCCUUUACCUGGUGGGAUGAUGAAAAUCGAAUCGAGAACAUUCAUAGGGAGUCUUCUCUGUAAAAAUUUGAAUAUAGUUGUUUGUGAGAGCUGUUGUUCCAUAGUGAAAAAAUCAGUGCCCACAGUAUGGGACCAGAACGAAUAAUUACCUGCCAGUCUUCUAUGAAUUCAAAAACUGCUGUCAUGUGUCCUAGAAUAAUGACUACAUAUGUAAUGUACCUUGUUACUAAAUGUUUACCUCUAAUUAACGAUUUAAGUUAAUUUUGUACUAACCAUAAGAAUUCUAUAAAAAAAUCCAUGGGUUAAGUUUCUGUCAGAACUGUUUAGCUCGUAUUCUAGAGAAAUAUGUGUCUAUAUAGAAAACUUGUGUUGCUAACCUUAAAAUGGUUCAUUACAGGAAAUUGCACUCUAAACCAUGUAGCUUCUCUACCCAAACUGGUUCUUUUUGUCAUCAAGCCCUUAUUCAUGCAAUUUCUAAAAUUGCAAAAUUAGGAUGGCUUGAUGUACUGAAAAAUCUUCAAAGAUAUUAUUGCUGAUGCAAAAAAAAAAGUAUUGGAGGUAAGAAACAAUUGUUUGCUUCUGCCUUUUUUUGUUGUUGUCUUUUUUUGUUUGGACCUCUUAAUUUAUAGUUAUUGGAAUGUUAUGUUGCUUGAUUUGAUACUGGGAUGGAAAAAGUGUGAAGUGCAUUGCUUGAGACAGAUUGUCUGUUGAGGAAGGACCAGGGUGGGUUUGCUGCCUAUGUGAGGUUGUGGGGUUUGAUGCCUCACAGAAUUCAUAGUGCUGUCUUGGCUUUUUCUCAGUUUUGUUUUUCAGAUCACUCCUUUAUAGAGUGGUUGUGAAACAACAGCCCUUGUUGUCAAGCCAUUCUGUUUAAUGCCUUCAUUUUUCGUCAGCUCCUAUAGAAACACAUUCCUGAUACAUGUCUAUGUGAAGGUUCAGCCUUUCUCAACUUCUGAUGAGCAAAAGCAAUGGGAAAUUUUAAGUUAUUUGGCAAUUUACUUGCAUGAUGAUCCAUUAUGUGUGUAUGUGCUGGUGAUCCUGGUAACUCAGCAAGGAAAUACAAAGUUAACAGUUUUUGUUUCUUGCCAGUGAGUUUCUAGUUUUCUUUUCAGUCUUACUUUGUUUGUAAUACUGUUCAAGUUAAUGUACUUUUUGAGUUACUUUGGGAAUGUCUAAUAAAAGAUAAGUUGCAAUAAGUGUGUUUAUUAAAAACAAACUCAAGUACACUUCUCCACCAUUUUGCAGUUAUUUUUAUGAAUGUACUGUAAUUGGAGUUUGCAUUUAUUAUUAAAAUGAUUGCAGUGUGACUCUUCAGUGUGCAGCUCAUUAAAAACAGUGAUUUAAAUACAAAAUAUAGUUUCUUAAGAGAUUUCUUUAGUUAAAUUAAGAAUUUCUGCAGAAAAGAAAAUUAAGUCAUAGAUCUAGUGAAUUAAAUUUUAUAUAAAAAUUGAAGAAAUAAUCCCUAAACAAUACUAAUCUAUGUAAUAAUUAGCAUAUUGUAGUUUCAAGUAUGUAUAUCUCAGCAUUCUGGACUGAGGUUCAUCCAGUGUGAAUUUGGGUGUGAUUUAUUACUGGGAAAGGGAUUAGCAGCCAGGUCUGUAGUUCUUUAAUUCAUAAUUCAGCAGCCAGGGUUUCACACCUGGCGAAGGAGAGGGUGCAUUUUCCUUUUUUGCAUGUGUGUAUGACCUAAGGAACCUUCCAAUGGACUGUUCACAGGAUGUGAAAUAUAAAAGGCAGACAGAGCACCAAUGUCACUUUUGCCUGAGAGCUCCCCUAAAUUGUCUCUCCUCACGUGCUUUGGUGCAGGUAACAGGACAAAACAGAGGACAGUGGGAGGUCAGGCUCCUUGGGCAUUGUGGACCACUGUGUAACAAGAAUGGUUCUCUCAGAACUGACUCAGGAAAUGGAUCUGGUUGAUUGUUCAAGACCUUCAGCAAAGCCUUGUAAAAGAGUUACCUCAUUUCGUGACACCUCUCUGAAGGAUAUUCUGCUGCUUGUGUGCUCUUUUGAAGGAGAGUUUUCCAGAUGAUCUCUUUGAUGGAUGCCCAGUUACUCCAGUAAAAAAAUGAAGAUGUAGAACUGGCAGUUCUGUGGUUCUUGGAUCAGAGUGUGAGAGCCCAGCUUCAGCACAGCUCAAAGCAGGCCUGGUACAGCUGCCUCUCACCUGCGUGGGUAGAUGCCCACGGUCCGGAGCCUCACUUUUGCCAGCUCGUCUAACAAAAGCUGUGUGUGAAGGCGUCUGAGCUCCCUGUUUUGGUGCUUCUGUAAACACUUGCAUGCAGGCUGAGCUGUUGGUGUGCACUCUGCAGCUCAGAGGCAGCAGAAGGCAGCACUGGGUGGCUGCUGCUGCUGUAGCAGCUCACAAAGCAGCAGAUGGCACGCUGCCCUCACGGCUGUAAAUCCUCACAUACGGGUCCUGCUGGCAGCUCUCUGCACACUGGCCAUGAGCAGGAUCAUGCCUGGAAGCAGAAAAGUCAGGAAUACAUCAAAUGAUUAAGUUAAUACACAUUUAUAUAAAUAUUCAGGAUUGCUCAGAUUGUUUUAUUUGUGGAAAGAAUAAUGGAAAUUUUGCGUGCUUCAGCCACGUUGUAAUGAUUUUGUUUGCUCAUAUGCUUGCAUACAGACAAACAGAAAAUGGUUAGAGAACAGUGAAGAGUCUAAUGAAAAUGUAGAACAAGUCUUCUAUAUAAAAUACAGAUUUUGUUCAUUAAUUAACUCAUAUUCUUAAGCAUGUGCAUGUAAUAAAAGCAAGCUCAUUAUAGAUAAAGAGAACUGGCUAGGUAAAUGAAUGCAUUUUUAUUAACCAGUCCACUGGGGCUUACUGUCUGAGGAAGGAGAGCAAAACCUCGGAGAUUUCUUCCACGAUGCUGUAAUACACUUUUAGUGCCAUAACUAUUCCUGUACAAAAGUAGUGCAUCAAGAUACAGUCUAUGAAUGAUUAUAUACAUAUUAAAUUUCUGCUGGACUGGACUCUCUGGUACCGUACAGGACUGGUAAUACUGGUCUAUCAAUUGUCUGUCAGUACAUAUUUUAAUGCUGGCAUGACUUAGUUUUCAUAGUGUCACUGUUUUGUGGUGUAUUGCUGGUUUGGAUGCUGGCAGGGUAGGAGGAAGAAAGUUGUCUGGAGAAGCGGUGCUGCUAAGCACAGCAGACAUUUGCCCUUGGAGGGAGAAAAAGCAACAGGAGGGUUUUGUAGCCUUCCCUAGAGCAGUACAUUGUGCAGCGAUUCCAGAUUCUCCUGGGACAGGCUGGAGCAACAACCCGUGGGAUGGGCAGGGUUUGGCUGUGACUGCCCCUAAGUGGCCAUUAGACAGUGCCAAGCGUCAUUAAAAUUGUUAAGUCUUGCCAAUUGAUGUAUCAAAGGAAAUGCAACUGAGUGAAGAUAGUUACUGAAAUUUCUUCAGUUCACUUAGAAUUGUUAACUUAAGUUUGACACUAAGGCAGCUUUAUACUUGGGAGUUCUGGCACUUGUAAAGGUCAGGUUCCACAUGUACACUCUGAGUGAUUGUAAAAAAGAGAUUGCUUUGGCUGAAGACUUUUCUCUUGAGGGUGCAUUAAGAGUUAUUCUGGGAGAGAAAAAUAGUUCUAGUUCUUGAAAAAUAUAGGGGUAGAGACAUAAAGUUCUUUUUAUUGUUAGUUCCUUUGCAUCUUGUUUUCCUGGGGAAUGCUUUUAGCCGUUAAGUAUUUUGUGAUUGCACAGAGAGCCAUUCAGUGGUCAGCACAGGGAGGCAGGAGUACACGAGGAGGUGCCUGUGGUUUCCAGGGGGCUCGGUGAUGCUGCUGUGCCUGUUCCAGUGCCCGUGCCCAUGGCCCUGCUGCGGUGCAGUUUGAGCAGAGCUCAGUGGGGACGAGCACAGUGGGCCGUGAACGUCACCACAACCUUCCUAGAGAGCUGCGUGUGCAGGGCUGGUGCUUGCUCUGCCUGUUAAAAGGUGGGGUUUUAUUAAAAUGCACUUAGGCAAGCUCUUUACUGUGAGGUGAUUACUGCUGGGAUCAUUCUCAUCCAGCGGUAGCUGAAUAAGUUCCGAGGAAUCUUGGGGUGCUCAAUCUGUCCCGGGCACUGCAGUCUGGGGGAACCCUCUGGAAGUGAAGAUACCUGGCAAUGGGGUUCCAGCAAGCCAUGCUUUUACUUUACCCCAGCUUGAACUGGCAGUGAUAGGGACCAAGCGUGGGAGAGCAGGAGUGAAAAUCUUGGCUGCAGGGUUUCUGGGAGCAGCCUCAUGUCCACAUGGAGAGAUGCAGUCACUGCCUAGCACUGGAGGGAUGUCGGUCACACAGUCUGGGAACCUGGGCUUUUAAACUUGGCAGAUCUGCAUUAUCAUAAAAAGGUAUCUCAAGGGUUAAGAAUUUAGACUGCAGUGCGUUUAGAGUGGAGGACAAAAAUCGUUUUCUUGCUGGAUUGUGUUUGCAGCAGCUGAAAGCCAGCCGUGUGUAUAGCCAGGUGCCAGCAAAGCACUGAGCACUGGCUUGUCCUCUCACCUGGAAGGGGGGUUCUAUUGACAUGUUAUUUUGAGAUUUCUUCAGUAUGUGUGUAUCUCUCUUAUCCCAGUGCCUGCAGACACAAAGCAUGACCUAGCAAAAAGGAGAAAUGCACUUAUUGUGCAAUGUGUGACUGCUUUUCCCUGUGCAAUACGAGAGCUGAGAUCCGCAGCGGUCCCGCUGCCUUCAGUGGGAUCCUUGCGGGUGGAGGGGCUGAGCUGUGAGUGGCUCAGCAAAAGCUCUGGGCUCUGGCAUCUCCAUGAUUAAUGAUAUCUUAACCCUUAUGAAUGAUUAUCCUUUCCUGGCUGUAAAAUACAUACACUGUUUUAUUUCAUUACCAUGAGGUGAAGAUCCAACACUGACAGGUGCUGGGAAUUAGCAGGCAGUUUUGAAAUUGUUCUGUGCACUAGAAAUUAGAUCUCAUUUUAAUUCAGCUUUUCCAAACUAGUAAAUGAGGUUAAUGCCAUACAUAUUCAGCUGAUAUGGAUGAAGAAAUUGAUAUAAAGUAGAUCAACAUAGCUACAGGGCUACUUUAAUUUAUACGUAAAGAGGCAGUGAUAAAUGAAAGUAAUGUAGUAGUGGUCACUAAACUCCUCAGCCAUCAGGGAUUCAAUAGUGUUAGCUGCUCAUUAAAGACAUGGUUGGGGUUACUUCAAAUAGAAAUUUGAAAAGAAAUAGCCAACUAACCCUUAAUUAUCAAAACAUAGAAAAUACUAAUUAUGCCUUAAUUAGCUUUUCUUUUAAUGUACUGAAAUUGUUACUUUUUGUGUAGCACAAAUGGAUAGUUAUAUCAACAAUAAAUAGGUUGUUUUAAUAACUUUCUUUCACCUCUGGGAAAACCACACUCCAAUUUUUAAUAUGCAAUAAUGCUUCUCUCUAGCCUGUAGGAGAUGAAAAUUAUUAAGUAGCUUUAUUUUUUGAAGAUCUUACAGCAGCUUUGGGAAGAAUUAUUUCACUAUGCAUCAAUUAUUUUUAAUUGAACUGAAUAUAUUUCAGAUUGCAUGAAAUGCCUCUCAUUUAAGUUUAACAUUUAGAGUUUGUUAAGGAAAUAUCACAGUGAGAAUUGGAUACAUCUUAUUUCUGUGGCAUAUUCUAGGAAGAAUAAAAAAACAUUGUUUCAGAAGAAAAAUAUUGUCACUGGUAUUUUUUCCUUCACUGGGUCAAAUCUCAUUUUUACUCUGUUUCAUAGCUCCCACACUGUUCUUAUCCAAUAUUCCUGCAGUUCACAUAGGAAAAGAAAGCCGGGGUUGGCUUUGGUGGGUCUGGAUCCUCUGGUGCUGUUGCACAAUUCCUGUCCCAGUGAGGCCGGUGGAGCCUGCCCCUGUGGAUGUGUGCAGGAAGGAAUAGCCAGCACAGCUGCCUGUGCUUUAGCAGACACAUCAGCUUUGUGAUUUCCAGCUGUGGGAUGGUAGGGAAGCACUGACUAGCGCUGGUCAUGAAAAAUCCACGUUCUCUUGACAGCCCCCACUGAGUUAAAUAGAAGGUAAGUGCUAGUACAGAAGUCAAAAUAAGUAGUUCUUGGUAACAAAACCUUGGCAAACUUUAAAUCACCAUGCCUGUCCUUUAACAGCUUUCGGAAAAUUCUUUAUUGAAUGUCUCCAUUACCUGGAAGUUCUAUACAGCAAACACACCAUCAGGACAUAGAGACAAACAUGCAAAACUUUGUGGAAUCAUAAACACUGGGUUCCUCAUUAGGUUGAGGAAUCUUUUCUCAGAUUUUAGAUUAUAUACUCCUGCCUUCCUCCUUCUUUUACAAUGAUGUUUAAACCAUUCAAGUCCUGAAAACGUUUUCUUUUUGUCUGUCUCACUCGUUACCUUUGGACUCCUUGCUCAUGCCAACUAAGCCUGCAUGAAUCAUUAUAGAGAUAUUCUUUACUCACAUUUGCAAUUAAAGCACUGGUUUAAAUGCCAUGCUAUUUUAUUUUAGAAUUUUAUAGCAUGAAUCAGGCAAUACUAAAAAUAAAUAUUAAGCACAGUUCAGUUCUUCACUUGGCUGUAGCUGAGCUUUAUUUUGUAGCUGCUAAUAAAGGCACAUUAUCAUGUUCAGGGAUUGCAAUUAUCACUGAAAUGUGUAUGUCCAUUAACUGCAGCAUUAGGCUGAGGGUAUAAUUACUGUCUAGAGCCAAUAUCUGUGUGUAGUUAUGUCUAUGAUGCUAUUAAGUUAUAAGCAAUAUUUGUAAACUAAUAUUUAAACAUUUCAGAAUUGAUUCCAUCAUUUGUGGACUUAAAAUCUAAUCCUAAUUCCACUCCAAGUUAUUGAUGAUUUAAAUGUUUGGCAGAUAUAUUAUUGAGUUAUUUUGAUGUGAGUAUAAUUUGUGAUGUGAGAGAGAAUACUGUUUUUCUGAUAGCAAGUACCCAGAAUGAGCUGAGCGCUUGGCAGGAGGAGAGAGAAGCUGUGGUAGCAACAAAAUGCUGCUAAAAUAGUGGUACAGUGUGUCCCAAAACACUGCAAACAGGAUGAAUUUUUCUUAGACUUACAUUUCAGACAAUUUAGUACAGCAAUUUAACUACAUAAAAACCUGUUGCAUGUUGAGAGGACAAGAAGGAAAAUACUUGCCUAAUAAUAUCACAAGUGUGUUUUGAAGAGGAAUGAGGUUGAGUUUGUGCACUGAUUUGCUUUUGGAAAAAAUCUGGUGUUUCUGUUGACAGAACGUGAAACUGCCUGUGAAAUUAGGUGGAUAGUUCAUUUGCAAAACUAGUCUAAGUCACCUGUCAGUAAUUCCACAGGUGUGGAGAUGUUUGCAUCUGUAAUGAAUGUGUGACCUUUUGCAACAUUUUGUUUUAUAUGCAAAAUGCACAUAGUAGUAAUCGACUUUUAAGUGCUUGUGUAAAUUAAUUUUCUGUUGUAUUUCCUUGGCAGGUGAGCGAUAGCCACCCCUCUGGUUAAUUUGGUUACCUGUCUCAGUAAUGGGUAGUUAAGGAAUGCUGUUUGGCAGUAAAUGUUAAGAGAAUCAGUCUUUCAGCAUUUUACAUCUUAUUUUGAACUCAAGUGUGUUUCAGAUUUUUCUAGGACAGAGGAGCUACUACAUUGCUUAGUGAUUUUUAUCUGGUGCAGAUAUAGUUGAUAGAUACCUAAUUGAAUUUCUCUUCCUGCUUUACAACAGUUCUUCUGGAUUCAGCUUUCACGUGUGUCUGCUUCGUGGCUUUCCAGCCUCAGCUCUGUCUUUGAGGGCCACACUUGGUUGUUCUGACACUGUUUACAUUUGCUGUCCACAUCACUAAAUAUGACUUUGUAUUUAUUAGAUUGUUUAUAUUUUUUAUGUUGAUUAUGCUCUUUGUUUCAAAAUCCGUGUAUUUCACCUCCAGCAGAUUCUCUUCUCUGAGUAACCUCUAACUGUUGGAGCUUUCCACUUGUGCUGCGUGUCCCAAACCAACUUAGCAAGAAGGAACAAGUAGCAAAUAGGACAUCUUGGGGUGAAAAAAACCCCAGAAACCCAGGCUAACUUAUGAAUUACUCAUCUAAAAUAUAUUGGUUUUGUUGCAGUAUGCUGGCCUUGUAUCCUCAUUAUUUAAAUAGCUUAAUGAAUUAACUUAACUGACCUUACAGUAAGUAAAUUAACCAUCAGAGUUCAGAGCAGAGUGAAUAAUUCUUUAAUAUUAGACUACAGCAAUUUUUAUGAUUCAAGUUAAUUAUGAAAUUGCUUAUUGCAUAUUUGUGUCAUUCAAGGAGUAAAAAUGUGCAAAAUAACACAUCAUACAUAGGUACAUCUGUCAAAGAAAGAGCAAUCCAGUGAAGUCCCAGGGGGUUAGAAAAUUCUUCUUGAUACUGGGUGAGUUAUCCACUGACUCGAUCUUCUGGAGUGUGGCCCGGCUGGCUCAGUGAUGACGUUUCUCUUCACUUGACUUUCGAGCCAGCAUCUGUUUGUGGGGUUCACUGAUUUUCUUCAAGAAUCCAAGUCUAUAGAGCGAGUAAAGGAAACGGGGGGGGGGGACUCUCUCUCUCUCUCGUUUGCAUUCCACAGUUUAUUUCUGUGAAGGGGGAUCCAAAGAACGAGAGACCAAGGAUUUGGG